GCCGGGGUGGUGGAAUUGGUAGACACAGGGGAUUCAAAAUCCCCCGGUAGCAAUACCUUGUCGGUUCGAGUCCGACCCUCGGUACCA
Molecule: transfer RNA, 87 nt
Filed under: Gammaproteobacteria bacterium
Lineage: Bacteria; Pseudomonadati; Pseudomonadota; Gammaproteobacteria
Also listed under: 2 other names
Description: tRNA-Leu
Rfam family: tRNA
About the family: Transfer RNA (tRNA) molecules are approximately 80 nucleotides in length.
Source: RNAcentral